Molecule: ribosomal RNA, 939 nt
Filed under: Lactobacillus gasseri
Lineage: Bacteria; Bacillati; Bacillota; Bacilli; Lactobacillales; Lactobacillaceae
Description: bacterial SSU rRNA
Rfam family: Bacterial small subunit ribosomal RNA
Source: RNAcentral
GCGGUAAUACGUAGGUGGCAAGCGUUGUCCGGGAUUUAUUGGGCGUAAAGCGAGUGCAGGCGGUUCAAUAAGUCUGAUGUGAAAGCUUUCGGCUCAACCGGAGAAUUGCAUCAGAAACUGUUGAACUUGAGUGCAGAAGAGGAGAGUGGAACUCCAUGUGUAGCGGUGGAAUGCGUAGAUAUAUGGAAGAACACCAGUGGCGAAGGCGGCUCUCUGGUCUGCAACUGACGCUGAGGCUCGAAAGCAUGGGUAGCGAACAGGAUUAGAUACCCUGGUAGUCCAUGCCGUAAACGAUGAGUGCUAAGUGUUGGGAGGUUUCCGCCUCUCAGUGCUGCAGCUAACGCAUUAAGCACUCCGCCUGGGGAGUACGACCGCAAGGUUGAAACUCAAAGGAAUUGACGGGGGCCCGCACAAGCGGUGGAGCAUGUGGUUUAAUUCGAAGCAACGCGAAGAACCUUACCAGGUCUUGACAUCCAGUGCAAACCUAAGAGAUUAAGAGUUCCCUUCGGGGACGCUGAGACAGGUGGUGCAUGGCUGUCGUCAGCUCGUGUCGUGAGAUGUUGGGUUAAGUCCCGCAACGAGCGCAACCCUUGUCAUUAGUUGCCAUCAUUAAGUUGGGCACUCUAAUGAGACUGCCGGUGACAAACCGGAGGAAGGUGGGGAUGACGUCAAGUCAUCAUGCCCCUUAUGACCUGGGCUACACACGUGCUACAAUGGACGGUACAACGAGAAGCGAACCUGCGAAGGCAAGCGGAUCUCUGAAAGCCGUUCUCAGUUCGGACUGUAGGCUGCAACUCGCCUACACGAAGCUGGAAUCGCUAGUAAUCGCGGAUCAGCACGCCGCGGUGAAUACGUUCCCGGGCCUUGUACACACCGCCCGUCACACCAUGAGAGUCUGUAACACCCAAAGCCGGUGGGAUAACCUUUAUAGGAGUCAGC